Cyprinus carpio (common carp) is the source of this 3280-nucleotide long non-coding RNA. The record is from Ensembl. Lineage: Eukaryota; Metazoa; Chordata; Actinopteri; Cypriniformes; Cyprinidae.
AUGGAUUUUUUGAUGGCAGAGCCAACUUAUAAACUUCUUAUCUUUUUAUGCAUGAUACGAGGAAUAUACGGAGUGCUUAUACAUUAUGAUGUGAACGUAAAUGCUGUGGAGGGACAGAACGUCAGCCUGCAGUGCAUUGUGGGAGAGGAGCAUGAAGUCACAAUUAUCCAGCUGGAAUGGAUUAAACAGCAAAAAGAAAAUGAGAAGAUCGAUCAGAAGAUUGUUGUGUUCCAUCCUGGGUACCCAACAUAUUAUAUUAAAUCCGGUUCUCUUCUGGAGACAGUGACCAGUUCAAAAACUGGGAAGCUGCAGGGCUCAAUCCUGACCCUGUAUAAAGUUGCAGUGAAUGAUGGUGGAAACUAUAUUUGCGAAAUUACAUCUUAUCCUAAUGGCUCAAUUAAAAGAACCACAAAGCUCCAAGUCACAGAGCCUCCAGCAUCAGUGAAGAUGUCAUAUCCAUAUGGAUUCAUAAAAGAAGGAGACGACGUGAAAAUAACUUGUUCAGCUAGCCCUCCACCACUCCGUUAUAAACUUGCAAGGUCAAAGGACCAGAUAUUUUGGCUGGGAAGCUCAAACGGAGAGAUCAUUAUAUCAAACAUCACCAGAAACGACAGCGAUGUGUACAUCUGUUUACCUGAAUGGGACUCAUUAGUACAAAAUCAGCAAGGUCUCAAUGUCACCAUGGAACUGACUGUGAAUUUUCUUGAUGGCAUUGAGUGUAACACAAGCAGCCCUUUAAACGUCAGUGUUGGUGAGGAUGUGAUGAUUUCUUGUAUCGCAAAAGCAUCACAGUACUUGCAGUAUAAGUGGAUGAGGGGUGACACAACACUGUCUCUGUCAGACACUUUGUCUCUGACCUCCGUAACAUCUGACCAGUCGGGAACAUACAAUCUGACAGCUGUCUUUCUGAACAAUCAACUCCAGACAGACAUGCAGUUUUCUAUCCAUGUUCUCUCAAAGCAAAGCCAAGGAAUGACAACUUCUUGCCCAGUAAGUACCACCCAACAUCUGAGCAGCUUUACCUCCAAUGGGACCAGCGAAUGGAGCACUGAUACCACUGUGUCUACAACAGAAUCUGGUCACUUCCUAGCUAGCACAAUAAAACCAAAUGCCACUAAGACAAGCCUACAACCCAGACACACCAGUCAUCCUCCUCCUCUCACUGGCAGCUCUUCUGCUCCACCUGUUGGCAAUGCAUCUACAUUACAUGCAAGCACUGUAAAAUCUCCAGAUUCCUCUACAGACAGUUUGAGCACAACUCCAGAUCCAGCUACCAGAAGAGAAAGAGUCUCCAAUGUUAUAACAAAGAAAACCUUUCCCCCUGUUACAGCACAAAAAGCCUCAAAAAGCUCAAUAUAUAUCGCCGUCCCGAUUGUGUUGUUGAUACUCGUGUUGAUUGUGCUUCUACACAGAAUAUACCAGAACCAAAAAAAGUGAGACAGUACAUCCUCUGUCCUUUUACAUAAUCACGUCCUACACAUUUUCAGUCCAUUUAUCUACAUUUUUACUCUUUCUUUUCAGAAUGGAUAUGCCACCUCCAUUCAAACCUCCCCCACCACCAGUGAAAUACACAUCAGUGAGGAACCAUGAUGUCUAUAUGACUGAUAUUCUAGUGUGAAUGUAUCAUGUACCUGAGAACCCACAAAUCGUGGGCCACAAAAAUGCUGACAUUGAAGAUUUUUCCCUAAAGGCCUCACCCCCCCAAAAAAUGUUUCAUCAAUUACUCAUCCUCAUGAAGUUUCGUUCAACUUCAAAAUGCAAAUGAAGAUAUUUUUAAGAAAACCUAAGAGAUUUCUGACUUUCCAUUGAAAGUCCACGCAACCAGUACUUUGGUGCUUCGAAAAGUUCAUAAAGACAUUGUAAAUGUAACCCACAUUUAAUUCAAGUCUUCUGACGAGGCAGUCACUUUAUAUGAUGAACAGAUUUAAUUUAAGCUUUUAUUCACAUAUAAACAUUAAUCAGUACAUAGAGUACAUCAAAUAUAUUAUAUGUUUUUGGAAGUCUUAUGGACUUAUAAUUAUGAGGUGAAUUAACUCUGUAACAUUUUAUUUUGUUAUAUUUUUGGUUAUUGUGACAUCACCCUCAUUUUCAUGUUUUUAUGUGUUUUUAAAGUUUUUUUUUACUUAUUUUCUUUGUGUCUCUGAACUGAUUGUUGAAUGGAUACAAUACGUUACUCUUAUAAAUAAUUAGUUUGUUGUUUUUUAACUGAAAACUGACUGAAUGUGACUGAAUUUUGCUUAACUGUGCUUUACUGACAUUAAAUAUAUUAUUGAAUAUCUUGAAUAUCUUGAGUUUUACUUAGCGCACAUCCUACAUCAGAACUAUGUAAAAAAAAAAAAAAAAAAUUGUGUGAGGGUGGGGUGUGUGAGGAUGCGGUCAAAAACCGGGUAAAUUCCAUAAAUAUUAAAUAUGACUAGGCCUUAGAGUUUAAUAAUACACACACACACACAUAUGUGUGUGUGCCAACACUGACCUCCUGUUGUGGCUGUGUGUUCUGUUAACAAAGCGAAGGCUAUCAGCUGAUUGUUUCAGGCCUCAUAAAACCUCAGUUUCCACCUCAGAUAGUAGAGACAAACCAACUGCCAAAACCACAUCAGACAGUGACCAACAGAGACAGCAUGUAUCCUUAACCUAACAGGUCUAAUCUACACAUACAAAUUCCAGCUCUGGUCACUAUUUAUUAUAACUUGCAGUAACAGCACAGCUGGUGGUUGUUUAUAUGGUGCUAAGAACAAAGCAGAAUUUAGUUCUGUUCAUGCUGCUUAUACAACAUCCGGCAUUUUAAAAUGCAGUUUACACCUUAAAACAAGCCUCCAUUCAAUGUGGGAGAAGAUGGAAAUGAAAGGCAUUUCUGAUUUAUGAACAGAGACAUAUGAAUAUUAGAGAGUGUAUGUGUGUUAAGACAGAGAAAACUAGAGAGAGAGAGAGAGAGAGAGAGAGAGAGAGAGUGAGUGAGAGUUGUACAGAGUUUUAUGCAUUGUGGUUCUUUGCUACAACAGCGACACGUUUAUGCAGAGGGACGUUUCCUGCUCUCGCUCUUGUGGUCGGAAAUGGAAAAUUCAGAAAAAAAGGAUUGAUUGUUUCAGUGUCUAGAUCAUCUGUAUCCUGCACUGUAUACAAUCAGGUCUCCAAUGUAUUAUUGUACUUCAUGAUGUAUAUAGGUGAUUUACCAAUAAUGCAUGAGAAAAAUACUCAAUUGUGUAAAGAAUGUGCAAAAUUCUAUUUCCAUUUAUCUUUGCCUCACAGAAUAAAGUACAGUGUGUGAGAGUUCUGUUAUACA